AUUGAACGCUGGCGGCAGGCUUAACACAUGCAAGUCGAGCGGUAGCACAGGGGAGCUUGCUCCCUGGGUGACGAGCGGCGGACGGGUGAGUAAUGUCUGGGAAACUGCCUGAUGGAGGGGGAUAACUACUGGAAACGGUAGCUAAUACCGCAUAACGUCGCAAGACCAAAGAGGGGGACCUUCGGGCCCCUUGCCAUCAGAUGUGCCCAGAUGGGAUUAGCUAGUAGGUGGGGUAAUGGCUCACCUAGGCGACGAUCCCUAGCUGGUCUGAGAGGAUGACCAGCCACACUGGAACUGAGACACGGUCCAGACUCCUACGGGAGGCAGCAGUGGGGAAUAUUGCACAAUGGGCGCAAGCCUGAUGCAGCCAUGCCGCGUGUGUGAAGAAGGCCUUCGGGUUGUAAAGCACUUUCAGCGAGGAGGAAGGUGGUGAGCUUAAUACGUUCAUCAAUUGACGUUACUCGCAGAAGAAGCACCGGCUAACUCCGUG
Molecule: ribosomal RNA, 490 nt
Filed under: uncultured bacterium
Lineage: Bacteria
Description: partial 16S ribosomal RNA
Rfam family: Bacterial small subunit ribosomal RNA
Source: RNAcentral